Non-coding RNA from Pelobates cultripes (western spadefoot toad), 253 nucleotides. Lineage: Eukaryota; Metazoa; Chordata; Amphibia; Anura; Pelobatidae. The record is from the annotation of a GenBank genome assembly.
CUUUAAUUAUCUCCCAUUACAUAGCUUCCUUUAGCACUGUCCCUAUUCCUAUGGCCCCUCUUUUAUCAAAGUCCUGUUUUGGUCUCCAGUUCUCAUUUAUCCCUCUUGUUCUGGGGUACAUCCCACCUCUGGUUUCUCAAUUUACCAUUUAUAUCUUUACCAGACUCGACCUUGAAUGUUCUUACGGCUAAAAACAGAGCAGGCCUGGUCUGUGAAAGGAUGUUUGAUCCACCAAUUGUCAGCUCUAGUUAGU